AUACGGAGGGGGCAAGCGUUGUUCGGAAUUACUGGGCGUAAAGCGCGCGUAGGCGGGCUGGUUAGUUGGGGGUGAAAUCCCAGGGCUUAACCCUGGAACUGCCUCCAAUACUGCCAGUCUAGAGUUCGAGAGAGGUGAGUGGAAUUCCUAGUGUAGAGGUGAAAUUCGUAGAUAUUAGGAAGAACACCAGUGGCGAAGGCGGCUCACUGGCUCGAUACUGACGCUGAGGUGCGAAAGCGUGGGGAGCAAACAGGAGUAGAAACCCCUGUAGUCC
RNAcentral lists this ribosomal RNA (274 nucleotides) under uncultured bacterium. Its description in RNAcentral is "partial 16S ribosomal RNA". It matches the Rfam family "Bacterial small subunit ribosomal RNA", at positions 523 to 796 of the family's 1533-position model. The record is from RNAcentral.